RNAcentral lists this long non-coding RNA (339 nucleotides) under Rattus norvegicus (Norway rat). Its description in RNAcentral is "long non-coding RNA NONRATT027489". Lineage: Eukaryota; Metazoa; Chordata; Mammalia; Rodentia; Muridae. The record is from RNAcentral.
GCAUGCUUGUCUUUAGGGUCUGUUGGCAAUUUGGCGGUAUCAAAACCAUGGGGUUUGGUCACAUGCCUUGGUGUCCAGAGAUAUCCCCUGAGCUUGUGUUGGGGUCUCAGCACUUGUAGGGGACAUUCUAGGACACUGUGGAGCCACUACAGGGUGGAGGGACAUGAGGCAAUGUGGAGAUUUUUCUUGCAGUGUGUGUGUGGGGGGGUCUGGGGAUCCCCAGUGGCUUGUGGACACUGCCUUUGCCUGUGGGAGCUGGACCCAGUUGCUGGGGUGGUGUCUGUGCAUGCUGUAAGAGUUUGGGGGAUCUGAGCAGCUCUUCAUGAUGGCACACACCCU